Molecule: ribosomal RNA, 253 nt
Filed under: uncultured bacterium
Lineage: Bacteria
Description: partial 16S ribosomal RNA
Rfam family: Bacterial small subunit ribosomal RNA
Source: RNAcentral
UACAGAGGUGGUAAGCGUUGUUCGGAAUUACUGGGCGUAAAGGGCGCGUAGGCGGCCCGAUAAGUCCCGCGUGAAAGCCCCCGGCUCAACUGGGGAACGGCGCGGGAAACUAUCGGGCUUGAGUUCGGGAGAGGGAAGCGGAAUUCCGGGUGUAGCGGUGAAAUGCGUAGAUAUCCGGAGGAACACCAGUGGCGAAGGCGGCUUCCUGGACCGACACUGACGCUGAGGCGCGAAAGCUAGGGGAGCAAACGGG